This is a long non-coding RNA of Patella vulgata (common limpet), 865 nucleotides long. RefSeq lists it as uncharacterized. Lineage: Eukaryota; Metazoa; Mollusca; Gastropoda; Patellidae. The record is from RefSeq and is a predicted model, not a curated record. The transcript has 3 exons.
CUAAAAAUGAUUUCCCUUUUGUACAGCGCAGACUCGCCCCUUAUCUAAGAACCACAAGCUCCCCGAUAUCGGUAGAAGACGGUUGUGUUAUAGUUUAGAUGAUAUAGCUGUGUUUAUUGGCAAUAUGUCUGAUCGCAACGUAACCAACAACAACCUGGCGUAUACUAUAAACAAUACAUACCAUGUUAACGGUGAUGAGGUGCAGAUUGGAAAUGGUAAUGUAUUCCACCAGAGAAAUCAACUUCAAUCAGAGGUGGUUGACCUGCGGGAAGAGGUGGGUGAAUUAAAAGACCGAGUCAAACAAUUGGAGGAAAGAAUGGCCGCGUUAGAAAAUAAUAAUGAUGAUACAAAGACUGAGGGAUCAGAAUAUCAGAUGGAUGACGAGGAGGAGGAGGAAGAGGAGGAGGAUAUGAUUACUCUGAAGCUCUAUAUUGUUUGGUUUGGUAAGAUGACUUUUAGUGUUAGUAGAGAUAAAACUGUAAGUGAACUAGAAUCUAUGAUACAGGAGGAGUGUAGAAGGAAGUAUGGUAGAGAUUGUGGUGUGAGUUGUAUUACUAGUAUCUACAGUGUAAAACAGAAGAAGUUCAUCUACCAAAGUAACAACAACAAAGAUCUAUCAUUUUCACAUUACGGUGUAGGUGAGGGUGAUAUAGUCUGCUAGUGUUAGUUUGUUUGAUUGUAUUCAGUUUUAACUAAUCAGAUAGUUUGAUUGUAUUGAUACCAAAGUAUGCCUAGUUUGUAUCAUAUUAGAAUUUAAAUGUUAAAUGAUAUCGGCUUGGUAUUAAAAUUUAAAUGUUAAUUGACAAUUUAUAUUGUAUUGUAUAUAAUUACACCUACUGUAUUUAAAAUAAACUAUUAUGUAAGG